UCCUGAUUGAUAAACAUUUGAGUGAGUGGCGGACGGGUGAGUAACACGUGGGUAACCUGCCCUAAAGUGGGGGAUAACAUUUGGAAACAGAUGCUAAUACCGCAUAAAACUUUAAACACAAGUUUUAAGUUUGAAAGAUGCAAUUGCAUCACUCAAAGAUGAUCCCGCGUUGUAUUAGCUAGUUGGUGAGGUAAAGGCUCACCAAGGCGAUGAUACAUAGCCGACCCUGAGAGGGUGAUCGGCCACAUUGGGACUGAGACACGGCCCAAACUCC
This 274-nucleotide ribosomal RNA is filed under the name uncultured Lactococcus sp. Its description in RNAcentral is "partial 16S ribosomal RNA". It matches the Rfam family "Bacterial small subunit ribosomal RNA", at positions 70 to 339 of the family's 1533-position model. The record is from RNAcentral. Lineage: Bacteria; Bacillati; Bacillota; Bacilli; Lactobacillales; Streptococcaceae.